ACCUGGGUAGCUCAGUCGGUUGAGCGUCUGACUUCAGCUCAGGUCAUGAUCUCACAGCUUGUGAGUUCAAGCCCCACGUU
This 80-nucleotide transfer RNA is filed under the name Felis catus (domestic cat). It matches the Rfam family "tRNA". Rfam says of the family: Transfer RNA (tRNA) molecules are approximately 80 nucleotides in length. Their secondary structure includes four short double-helical elements and three loops (D, anti-codon, and T loops). RNAcentral also lists the same sequence under 4 other names. The record is from Rfam by way of RNAcentral. Lineage: Eukaryota; Metazoa; Chordata; Mammalia; Carnivora; Felidae.